AUACUGUGAUGGUUGCAUAGUUCAGCAGAUUUAAGGCAUGAAGAAAUUUACCUUUUCUGAUGUAUCU
Marmota marmota marmota (Alpine marmot) is the source of this 67-nucleotide small nucleolar RNA. NCBI's taxonomy places the organism in Eukaryota, Metazoa, Chordata, Mammalia, Rodentia, Sciuridae. The record is from Ensembl.